AUUGAACGCUGGCGGCAUGCCUUACACAUGCAAGUCGAACGGUAACGCGGGGCAACCUGGCGACGAGUGGCGAACGGGUGAGUAAUGCAUCGGAACGUGCCCAGUAGUGGGGGAUAGUCCGGCGAAAGCCGGAUUAAUACCGCAUACGACCUACGGGUGAAAGCGGGGGACCGUAAGGCCUCGCGCUAUUGGAGCGGCCGAUGUCAGAUUAGGUAGUUGGUGGGGUAAAGGCCUACCAAGCCUUCGAUCUGUAGCUGGUCUGAGAGGACGACCAGCCACACUGGGACUGAGACACGGCCCAGACUCCUACGGGAGGCAGCAGUGGGGAAUUUUGGACAAUGGGCGCAAGCCUGAUCCAGCCAUGCCGCGUGCGGGAAGAAGGCC
This 384-nucleotide ribosomal RNA is filed under the name uncultured bacterium. RNAcentral's name for it is "bacterial SSU rRNA". It matches the Rfam family "Bacterial small subunit ribosomal RNA", at positions 29 to 416 of the family's 1533-position model. The record is from RNAcentral.